CCUACGGGAGGCAGCAGUGGGGAAUAUUGCACAAUGGGCGAAAGCCUGAUGCAGCGACGCCGCGUGAGGGAUGACGGCCUUCGGGUUGUAAACCUCUUUCAGCAGGGAAGAAGCGAGAGUGACGGUACCUGCAGAAGAAGCGCCGGCUAACUACGUGCCAGCAGCCGCGGUAAUACGUAGGGCGCAAGCGUUGUCCGGAAUUAUUGGGCGUAAAGAGCUCGUAGGCGGCUUGUUGCGUCGGUUGUGAAAGCCCGGGGCUUAACCCCGGGUCUGCAGUCGAUACGGGCAGGCUAGAGUGUGGUAGGGGAGAUCGGAAUUCCUGGUGUAGCGGUGAAAUGCGCAGAUAUCAGGAGGAACACCGGUGGCGAAGGCGGAUCUCUGGGCCAUUACUGACGCUGAGGAGCGAAAGCGUGGGGAGCGAACAGGAUUAGAUACCCUGGUAGUCCACGCGUAACGUAGGUACGUAGUGUUGGUCGACAUCACGUCGUCGGUGCGCNGCUACGACAUAGUUCCCGUCCGUGGGAGGUACGGCCGCGAGACGUAACUACAAUAGAGUAGACGGCGUGAGACGNGCCGAACGGACGACGACGAGGGAGUAGG
This 600-nucleotide ribosomal RNA is filed under the name uncultured bacterium. RNAcentral's name for it is "bacterial SSU rRNA". The stretch from base 1 to 517 matches the Rfam family "Bacterial small subunit ribosomal RNA", at positions 338 to 873 of the family's 1533-position model. The record is from RNAcentral.